Molecule: ribosomal RNA, 1083 nt
Filed under: uncultured organism
Description: bacterial SSU rRNA
Rfam family: Bacterial small subunit ribosomal RNA
Source: RNAcentral
GGCAGCAGUGAGGAAUAUUGGGCAAUGGACGCAAGUCUGACCAGCCAUGCCGCGUGCAGGAUGACUGCCCUAUGGGUUGUAAACUGCUUUUGUUUGGGAAGAAACCCCCGAUCGUGAUCGGGGCUGACGGUACCAUACGAAUAAGCAUCGGCUAACUCCGUGCCAGCAGCCGCGGUAAUACGGAGGAUGCAAGCGUUAUCCGGAUUCAUUGGGUUUAAAGGGUGCGCAGGCGGAAUAUUAAGUCAGUGGUGAAAUCCUGCAGCUUAACUGUAGAACUGCCAUUGAUACUGAUAUUCUUGAAUAUAGUUGAGGUGGGCGGAAUGUGUAAUGUAGCGGUGAAAUGCUUAGAUAUUACACAGAACACCAAUUGCGAAGGCAGCUCACUAAACUAAUAUUGACGCUGAGGCACGAAAGCGUGGGUAGCAAACAGGAUUAGAUACCCUGGUAGUCCACGCUGUAAACUAUGAUCACUCGCUGUUGGCAAUACAUCGUCAGCGGCUGAGCGAAAGCAUUAAGUGAUCCACCUGGGGAGUACGGUCGCAAGAUUGAAACUCAAAGGAAUUGACGGGGGCCCGCACAAGCGGAGGAACAUGUGGUUUAAUUCGAUGAUACGCGAGGAACCUUACCUGGGCUUAAAUGCAGAGCGACGUCCGCCGAAAGGUGGAUUCCUUCGGGCGAUCUGCAAGGUGCUGCAUGGUUGUCGUCAGCUCGUGCCGUGAGGUGUCGGGUUAAGUCCCAUAACGAGCGCAACCCUUAUCGUUAGUUGCCAGCGGGUAAUGCCGGGGACUCUAACGAAACUGCCGGUGUAAACCGUGAGGAAGGUGGGGAUGACGUCAAAUCAGCACGGCCCUUAUGUCCAGGGCUACACACGUGUUACAAUGGUCGGUACAGAGGGCAGCUACCACGCAAGUGGAUGCUAAUCUCGAAAACCGGUCUCAGUUCGGAUUGAAGUCUGCAACUCGACUUCAUGAAGCUGGAUUCGCUAGUAAUCGCGCAUCAGCCAUGGCGCGGUGAUACGUUCCCGGGCCUUGUACACACCGCCCGUCAAGCCAUGGAAGCUUGGGGUACCUGAAGUCCGUAACC